UGGGGAAUAUUGGACAAUGGGGGCAACCCUGAUCCAGCAAUGCCGCGUGUGUGAAGAAGGCCUGCGGGUUGUAAAGCACUUUUGGCAGGGAUGAAAAGCACUGGAUUAAUAACCCAGUGUGUUGACCUAACCUGCAGAAGAAGCACCGGCUAACUACGUGCCAGCAGCCGCGGUAAUACGUAGGAUGCGAGCGUUAAUCGGAAUUACUGGGCGUAAAGCGUGCGCAGGCGGUUUGGUAAGACAGAUGUGAAAUCCCCGGGCUUAACCUGGGAACUGCAUUUGUGACUGCCAGACUAGAGUGUAGCAGAGGGGGGUAGAAUUCCACGUGUAGCAGUGAAAUGCGUAGAUAUGUGGAGGAAUACCGAUGGCGAAGGCAGCCCCCUGGGCUAACACUGACGCUCAUGCACGAAAGCGUGGGGAGCAAACAGGAUUAGAUACCCUAGUAGUCCCUGAGCGGGCUGGCAAGGCGCAU
This 472-nucleotide ribosomal RNA is filed under the name uncultured bacterium. RNAcentral's name for it is "bacterial SSU rRNA". It matches the Rfam family "Bacterial small subunit ribosomal RNA", at positions 355 to 825 of the family's 1533-position model. The record is from RNAcentral.